AGCUAAUGGUGCAGUGGUUUGAGCCCUGGACUAUGACUCUAGAGACCAGGGUUCAAAUCCCCAAUUGGCCA
Non-coding RNA from Phrynosoma platyrhinos (Desert horned lizard), 71 nucleotides. The record is from the annotation of a GenBank genome assembly. Lineage: Eukaryota; Metazoa; Chordata; Lepidosauria; Squamata; Phrynosomatidae.